This is a long non-coding RNA of Gorilla gorilla gorilla (western lowland gorilla), 729 nucleotides long. RefSeq lists it as uncharacterized. The record is from RefSeq and is a predicted model, not a curated record. The transcript is spliced from 2 exons. Lineage: Eukaryota; Metazoa; Chordata; Mammalia; Primates; Hominidae.
AGAUGGGACCGUCUAGUUGCAGGAAAACAAACUCAGGGCCCACUGAUUCUGCAUUAUGAGAUUUGAUCUUAUGUAAUCUUCAGAGCUGGCUAAGCUUCCUGGUUAGGACAUCUCUGCAAGUCUCUUUGCCUCUGAUACUGGAGUUGAAGUCUACAAGAGAGGAGUCAGGAAGAAAAAUUGGAUGUAAGAUAAGGAACAAGAACAAGCUGGAAUUCACAGCAGAAUUGGAGCCCAUGAUUAUGGACAGAAAACUCUGCUUGUUUUUGUGACCUUACACCCGGUAUGCUGAUAGGGUGUCCUGCAGAAGCUGGGCCUCUCAUAGCAGAGCUCAACACAUUCACCUAGCAUAGAUUGAGAGAAGUUUCAAGGAGGAUUGAGGGGAUGGUAAAGCAUUUUAAGGCCAAGCUGCUGCUCCUCCUGCUAAUGAUGUAAUUCCAUCUUUAUCAGCAUAUGAGAGCUUAAAAAUUGUAACUUCACCUCUGCUCUCCAAAUCAAGAACAAUAAUUUGUCUAGAGCCCAUCUUAACCAGAACACACAGGAAGAGGAAUUCUGGGUAACAUAGUCCGACAUACCAAAGUUAGCACGUUGAAAAGAAUAUGAGUGUCAACUGGGCACUUACACACAUCUCCUUACAAUAUGCAUAAUUUUCAAAUAAGAAAAUAAGUCACCUUUUCCUAGCAUCAUGCAAGCCUUCUGCUAAAUAAAAACACUGUAACCUUUUCCCUAUAA